GAGAUAUUAGUAAAAAUUAUAUAACUUUGUCAAAGUUAAAUUGUAGGUUCGAACUCCUUCUCUCA
This 65-nucleotide transfer RNA is filed under the name Equus caballus (horse). It matches the Rfam family "tRNA". From Rfam's summary of the family: Transfer RNA (tRNA) molecules are approximately 80 nucleotides in length. Their secondary structure includes four short double-helical elements and three loops (D, anti-codon, and T loops). The record is from Rfam by way of RNAcentral. Lineage: Eukaryota; Metazoa; Chordata; Mammalia; Perissodactyla; Equidae.